RNAcentral lists this ribosomal RNA (569 nucleotides) under Nectria sp. OUCMBI110122. RNAcentral describes it as "eukaryotic LSU rRNA". The stretch from base 190 to 343 matches the Rfam family "5.8S ribosomal RNA". Lineage: Eukaryota; Fungi; Ascomycota; Sordariomycetes; Hypocreales; Nectriaceae. The record is from RNAcentral.
UCCGUAGGUGAACCUGCGGAGGGAUCAUUACCGAGUUUACAACUCCCAAACCCCUGUGAACAUACCAAUACUGUUGCCUCGGCGGGACUCGCCCCGGCGCCCUCGGGCCCGGACCCAGGCGCCCGCCGGAGGACCCCAACUCUUGUCUUUACUGAGUAUCUUCUGAGUGACACAAGCAAAUAAAAUCAAAACUUUCAACAACGGAUCUCUUGGUUCUGGCAUCGAUGAAGAACGCAGCGAAAUGCGAUAAGUAAUGUGAAUUGCAGAAUUCAGUGAAUCAUCGAAUCUUUGAACGCACAUUGCGCCCGCCAGUAUUCUGGCGGGCAUGCCUGUUCGAGCGUCAUUUCAACCCUCAAGCCCCCGGGCUUGGUGUUGGGGAUCGGCCCGCCCCCGCGCGGCGCCGGCCCCGAAAUCGAGUGGCGGUCUCGCUGUAGCCUCCUCUGCGUAGUAGCAACACCUCGCACCGGAACGCAGCGCGGCCACGCCGUGAAACCCCCCACCUUCUGAAGGUUGACCUCGAAUCAGGUAGGACUACCCGCUGAACUUAAGCAUAUCAAUAAGCGGAGGAA